This 497-nucleotide ribosomal RNA is filed under the name uncultured bacterium. RNAcentral describes it as "partial 16S ribosomal RNA". It matches the Rfam family "Bacterial small subunit ribosomal RNA", at positions 28 to 507 of the family's 1533-position model. The record is from RNAcentral.
GAUGAACGCUGGCGGCGUGCCUAACACAUGCAAGUCGAGCGAACAGACGAGGAGCUUGCUCCUCUGACGUUAGCGGCGGACGGGUGAGUAACACGUGGAUAACCUACCUAUAAGACUGGGAUAACUACGGGAAACCGGAGCUAAUACCGGAUAAUAUAUUGAACCGCAUGGUUCAAUAGUGAAAGACGGCUUUGCUGUCACUUAUAGAUGGAUCCGCGCCGCAUUAGCGAGUUGGUAAGGUAACGGCUUACCAAGGCAACGAUGCGUAGCCGACCUGAGAGGGUGAUCGGCCACACUGGAACUGAGACACGGUCCAGACUCCUACGGGAGGCAGCAGUAGGGAAUCUUCCGCAAUGGGCGAAAGCCUGACGGAGCAACGCCGCGUGAGUGAUGAAGGUCUUCGGAUCGUAAAACUCUGUUAUUAGGGAAGAACAACUGUGUAAGUAACUAUGCACGUCUUGACGGUACCUAAUCAGAAAGCCACGGCUAACUACGUG